Long non-coding RNA from Suricata suricatta (meerkat), 217 nucleotides. RefSeq lists it as uncharacterized. The transcript has 3 exons. The record is from RefSeq and is a predicted model, not a curated record. Lineage: Eukaryota; Metazoa; Chordata; Mammalia; Carnivora; Herpestidae.
GGAAAGUGACAUGUGUGACUCCUGCGCUGAAGUACCAAAGAGCACGUACAAAUAUGAACUACCUGCAUUCAACACUGGAGACAUGUUCUUUCUGUAAAGAGAUGCACAAGCACAGAGACGAUAAACAGCUUGCCCAAGGUCAUGAGUAGGAAGUGGUACAGCUGGACUCUGAACCUGGACAUUCCAACUCCAGAAUCUAUGUUCCUUCUUUAGACUG